This 489-nucleotide ribosomal RNA is filed under the name uncultured bacterium. Its description in RNAcentral is "partial 16S ribosomal RNA". It matches the Rfam family "Bacterial small subunit ribosomal RNA", at positions 355 to 833 of the family's 1533-position model. The record is from RNAcentral.
UGGGGAAUUUUGGACAAUGGGCGCAAGCCUGAUCCAGCCAUGCCGCGUGCGGGAAGAAGGCCUUCGGGUUGUAAACCGCUUUUGUCAGGGAAGAAAUCUUCUGAGUUAAUACCUCGGGAGGAUGACGGUACCUGAAGAAUAAGCACCGGCUAACUACGUGCCAGCAGCCGCGGUAAUACGUAGGGUGCAAGCGUUAAUCGGAAUUACUGGGCGUAAAGCGUGCGCAGGCGGUUUUGUAAGACAGAGGUGAAAUCCCCGGGCUCAACCUGGGAACUGCCUUUGUGACUGCAAGGCUUGAGUGCGGCAGAGGGGGAUGGAAUUCCGCGUGUAGCAGUGAAAUGCGUAGAUAUGCGGAGGAACACCGAUGGCGAAGGCAAUCCCCUGGGCCUGCACUGACGCUCAUGCACGAAAGCGUGGGGAGCAAACAGGAUUAGAUAGCCCUGGUAGUCCACGCCCUAAACCGAUGUCAAACUGGUUGUUGGGAAGGUU